UCAAUAACAAAAACAUUAUCAGUGGCCA
This 28-nucleotide small RNA is filed under the name Bombyx mori (domestic silkworm). Its description in RNAcentral is "ovarian small RNA-6778". The record is from RNAcentral. Lineage: Eukaryota; Metazoa; Arthropoda; Insecta; Lepidoptera; Bombycidae.